RNAcentral lists this transfer RNA (65 nucleotides) under Heterocephalus glaber (naked mole-rat). It matches the Rfam family "tRNA". From Rfam's summary of the family: Transfer RNA (tRNA) molecules are approximately 80 nucleotides in length. Their secondary structure includes four short double-helical elements and three loops (D, anti-codon, and T loops). Further hydrogen bonds mediate the characteristic L-shaped molecular structure. tRNAs have two regions of fundamental functional importance: the anti-codon, which is responsible for specific mRNA codon recognition, and the 3' end, to which the tRNAs corresponding amino acid is attached (by aminoacyl-tRNA synthetases). tRNAs cope with the degeneracy of the genetic code in two manners: having more than one tRNA (with a specific anti-codon) for a particular amino acid; and 'wobble' base-pairing, i.e. permitting non-standard base-pairing at the 3rd anti-codon position. Lineage: Eukaryota; Metazoa; Chordata; Mammalia; Rodentia; Bathyergidae. The record is from Rfam by way of RNAcentral.
GGUGUAGCUCAGUGGCAAAGCUCUUGCCUAGUAUGUGAGAGGCCCUGGGUUCCAUCCCCAGCACC